GGAUGUGAGGGCAAUCUGGCUGUGACAUCUGUCACCCCAUUGAUUGCCAGGGUUGAUUUGGCUGAUCUGGCUGGCUAGGCGGGUGUCCCCUUCCUCCCUCACUGUUCCACGUGCAUCCCUCCCGAAGCCGUGCACUCGGUCCAAGAGGACGACCUUCCCCGCUAGAGGAGGAUCGUUCUUCUGUCAAGGGUAUAUGAAUAGCUGUGCUCCCCUGCUAGAACCUCCAAACAAGCUCUCAAAAAUCAAGUGCAGAGGCUGGAUCUUUCUCUCACCUUUGGA
RNAcentral lists this small nuclear RNA (279 nucleotides) under Dasypus novemcinctus (nine-banded armadillo). RNAcentral describes it as "7SK RNA (ENSDNOG00000037703.1)". It matches the Rfam family "7SK RNA". From Rfam's summary of the family: 7SK was discovered as an abundant small nuclear RNA in the mid-70s but a possible function has only recently been suggested. Two independent studies have found that 7SK RNA binds the CDK9/cyclin T complex (known as elongation factor P-TEFb). Lineage: Eukaryota; Metazoa; Chordata; Mammalia; Cingulata; Dasypodidae. The record is from RNAcentral.